RNAcentral lists this ribosomal RNA (444 nucleotides) under Holothuria mammata. Its description in RNAcentral is "partial 16S ribosomal RNA". It matches the Rfam family "Bacterial large subunit ribosomal RNA", at positions 1966 to 2625 of the family's 2925-position model. The record is from RNAcentral. Lineage: Eukaryota; Metazoa; Echinodermata; Holothuroidea; Aspidochirotida; Holothuriidae.
CAUUUGUCUUUUAAAUGAAGACUUGUAUGAACGGCAAAACCUCCUCCAACUGUCUCCCCUCCCAUCCUUCCAAAUUUCCUCCUGUGUGAAGAAGCACAGAUACACCAGAAAGACGAGAAGACCCUGUCGAGCUUUAACCACUAAGUGGGCCUUACCCUUUCAGGCACCACCCAAAGGUUUUGGUUGGGGCAACCACGGAGAAAAAACAUCCUCCAGAACGAAUAGAAGAAAGCUUUUCACUAUUAUUACGACUAAGAACCAGGAACUGGUAUUCGGAAAGAGUUACCGCAGGGAUAACAGCGUCAUCUUCUCUAAGAGUCCUUAUUGACGAGGAGGUUUGCGACCUCGAUGUUGGAUUGGGGCCCCCUUAGGGUGCAGAAGCUCUAAACGGUUAGACUGUUCGUCUAUUAAAGCCCUACAUGAUCUGAGUUCNAAACCGGAGAU